UGAGGCCUGCCCUUUACUAUAUUCUUAAACAUUGUUCUGACCUUCAAAUAAUUUGUGCUUAUUGAAGGAAAACUGGAACAUACAGAGAAUUAAAGGGUGUAUAUUCCUAGAGGCAAGACCUUCAAGCGUGGAUCUGGAAGAUACUACACAACACCAUGUCUCCCCAAAGUGAGAACUUGACUUUGUGGUCAUUCGGUUCACCCUGACCCAAACCACACCCCAGGACAGGGCUCCAGUCCUGGUUUCUGAACCCUGGUGCCCAGAGGAAAACAUUGCAAACACUUCUGCUGCAGACACCAUCCCCAACACUGCAGGCACCAAGUAGGAACACCACAGCCCUGGGGUCACAGCCCUGGACCGGAGGGGCGGGCUCCCACAGCGUAUUCGAUCACCAGAAGGGACAAAAGCCAUCCACUCGGCUUUUCAUCUCUUCACAGCUUUUUGACAUUUCCAAAGCCACACCUUACUUGCUGGUUUUCUUUUGUGAGAGAGAAGACACACAGGCUGAGCACCACAGCCAGCGAGCACGUUUCCAGAAGGCUGCCUAGGUUCGAGGCGGGCGGGAGCAAAGUGCUCAACGUUUCUGAAAUCCCUCUGGGCGUGUCACGUGGAGCCCACUGCUGGCACAGCCGAGCCUGCUGAAGCUCUCAGAGCUCUUCAGGGCCACUGAGGAAAAAAAUGACCAGAGGAGGUAGCAUAAAAGCGGCAUAAAUUGUUCAGCUGAGGUCAUGGUCGUGGGCAGGAGUCUGAGGUCCUGACGUUAAGACAAAAAUUGAGAACACACGGUUGGGAAUGAUGAAUGUCGUACUUACUGUAAGGAAGGGAAAGAAGCCAUAUUUUGUCAGGGCCUGGGAGUGGAAAGGGGUGUUCAGAGGAGCACUUGUGAGAGAGAAGGUAUUUGAUCUGCACCUUGAGAUGUGGUUACGAUUUAGCUAUGCAGAGACCGGAAAUGGAGAGAAGGAAGCAGGGGCCUACAAACACGUGGCCUGCCACCACUGAGCCAGCAUACCACUUUCCCUCCAAGUAUUGACCAUGUGAUACGAGCAGAAAUACACAUUAAAUAUUAUUAGUA
This is a long non-coding RNA of Panthera uncia (snow leopard), 1072 nucleotides long. RefSeq lists it as uncharacterized. NCBI's taxonomy places the organism in Eukaryota, Metazoa, Chordata, Mammalia, Carnivora, Felidae. The record is from RefSeq and is a predicted model, not a curated record. The transcript has 2 exons.